This 67-nucleotide transfer RNA is filed under the name Furipterus horrens. RNAcentral's name for it is "tRNA-Pro". It matches the Rfam family "tRNA". Rfam says of the family: Transfer RNA (tRNA) molecules are approximately 80 nucleotides in length. Their secondary structure includes four short double-helical elements and three loops (D, anti-codon, and T loops). Further hydrogen bonds mediate the characteristic L-shaped molecular structure. tRNAs have two regions of fundamental functional importance: the anti-codon, which is responsible for specific mRNA codon recognition, and the 3' end, to which the tRNAs corresponding amino acid is attached (by aminoacyl-tRNA synthetases). tRNAs cope with the degeneracy of the genetic code in two manners: having more than one tRNA (with a specific anti-codon) for a particular amino acid; and 'wobble' base-pairing, i.e. permitting non-standard base-pairing at the 3rd anti-codon position. The record is from RNAcentral. Lineage: Eukaryota; Metazoa; Chordata; Mammalia; Chiroptera; Furipteridae.
CAAGGGGUAGUUUAAUAUAGAAUAUCAGCUUUGGGUGCUGAUGGUGGGGGUUGUCCCUCCUCCUUGA